RNAcentral lists this ribosomal RNA (520 nucleotides) under uncultured Comamonas sp. RNAcentral's name for it is "bacterial SSU rRNA". It matches the Rfam family "Bacterial small subunit ribosomal RNA", at positions 9 to 526 of the family's 1533-position model. Lineage: Bacteria; Pseudomonadati; Pseudomonadota; Betaproteobacteria; Burkholderiales; Comamonadaceae. The record is from RNAcentral.
GAGUUUGAUCCUGGCUCAGAUUGAACGCUGGCGGCAUGCUUUACACAUGCAAGUCGAACGGUAACAGGUCUUCGGAUGCUGACGAGUGGCGAACGGGUGAGUAAUACAUCGGAACGUGCCUAGUGGUGGGGGAUAACUACUCGAAAGAGUAGCUAAUACCGCAUGAGAUCUACGGAUGAAAGCAGGGGACCUUCGGGCCUUGUGCUACUAGAGCGGCUGAUGGCAGAUUAGGUAGUUGGUGGGGUAAAGGCUUACCAAGCCUGCGAUCUGUAGCUGGUCUGAGAGGACGACCAGCCACACUGGGACUGAGACACGGCCCAGACUCCUACGGGAGGCAGCAGUGGGGAAUCUUGGACAAUGGGCGAAAGCCUGAUCCAGCAAUGCCGCGUGCAGGAUGAAGGCCCUCGGGUUGUAAACUGCUUUUGUACGGAACGAAAAGCCUGGGGCUAAUAUCCCCGGGUCAUGACGGUACCGUAAGAAUAAGCACCGGCUAACUACGUGCCAGCAGCCGCGGUAAUAC